UCGAACGAUGACUCUCUAGCUUGCUAGAGAUGAUUAGUGGCGGACGGGUGAGUAACAUUUAGGAAUCUGCCUAGUAGUGGGGGAUAGCUCGGGGAAACUCGAAUUAAUACCGCAUACGACCUACGGGUGAAAGGGGGCGCAAGCUCUUGCUAUUAGAUGAGCCUAAAUCAGAUUAGCUAGUUGGUGGGGUAAAGGCCCACCAAGGCGACGAUCUGUAACUGGUCUGAGAGGAUGAUCAGUCACACCGGAACUGAGACACGGUCCGGACUCCUACGGGAGGCAGCAGUGGGGAAUAUUGGACAAUGGGGGCAACCCUGAUCCAGCCAUGCCGCGUGUGUGAAGAAGGCCUUUUGGUUGUAAAGCACUUUAAGCAGGGAGGAGAGGCUAAUGGUUAAUACCCAUUAGAUUAGACGUUACCUGCAGAAUAAGCACCGGCUAACUCUGUGCCAGCAGCCGCGGUAAUACAGAGGGUGCGAGCGUUAAUCGGAAUUACUGGGCGUAAAGCGAGUGUAGGUGGCUCAUUAAGUCACAUGUGAAAUCCCCGGGCUUAACCUGGGAACUGCAUGUGAUACUGGUGGUGCUAGAAUAUGUGAGAGGGAAGUAGAAUUCCAGGUGUAGCGGUGAAAUGCGUAGAGAUCUGGAGGAAUACCGAUGGCGAAGGCAGCUUCCUGGCAUAAUAUUGACACUGAGAUUCGAAAGCGUGGUAGCAAACAGGAUUAGA
This 721-nucleotide ribosomal RNA is filed under the name Moraxella sp. ehK21. RNAcentral describes it as "bacterial SSU rRNA". It matches the Rfam family "Bacterial small subunit ribosomal RNA", at positions 62 to 782 of the family's 1533-position model. Lineage: Bacteria; Pseudomonadati; Pseudomonadota; Gammaproteobacteria; Moraxellales; Moraxellaceae. The record is from RNAcentral.